This 375-nucleotide ribosomal RNA is filed under the name uncultured bacterium. RNAcentral's name for it is "bacterial SSU rRNA". It matches the Rfam family "Bacterial small subunit ribosomal RNA", at positions 335 to 704 of the family's 1533-position model. The record is from RNAcentral.
ACUCCUACGGGAGGCAGCAGUGGGGAAUAUUGCACAAUGGGCGCAAGCCUGAUGCAGCCAUGCCGCGUGUGUGAAGAAGGCCUUCGGGUUGUAAAGCACUUUCAGUCGUGAGGAAGGUAGUGUAGUUAAUAGCUGCAUUAUUUGACGUUAGCGACAGAAGAAGCACCGGCUAACUCCGUGCCAGCAGCCGCGGUAAUACGGAGGGUGCGAGCGUUAAUCGGAAUUACUGGGCGUAAAGCGCAUGCAGGUGGUUGUUAAGUCAGAUGUGAAAGCCCGGGGCUCAACCUCGGAAUAGCAUUUGAAACUGGCAGACUAGAGUACUGUAGAGGGGGUAGAAUUUCAGGUGUAGCGGUGAAAUGCGUAGAGAUCUGAAGG